Molecule: ribosomal RNA, 244 nt
Filed under: uncultured bacterium
Lineage: Bacteria
Description: partial 16S ribosomal RNA
Rfam family: Bacterial small subunit ribosomal RNA
Source: RNAcentral
AACGUGAGCAACCUGCCUUUCAGAGGGGGAGUAACAAGUUGGAAACGACUGCUAAUACCGCAUAACGCUGCGAUGGGGCAUCCCGAUGCAGCCAAAGGAGCAAUCCGCUGGAAGAUGGGCUCGCGGCCGAUUAGCUAGUUGGUGGGGCAACGGCCCACCAAGGCGACGAUCGGUAGCCGGACUGAGAGGUUGAUCGGCCACAUUGGGACUGAGACACGGCCCAGACUCCUACGGGAGGCAGCAG